Long non-coding RNA from Suricata suricatta (meerkat), 381 nucleotides. RefSeq lists it as uncharacterized. The record is from RefSeq and is a predicted model, not a curated record. Lineage: Eukaryota; Metazoa; Chordata; Mammalia; Carnivora; Herpestidae. The transcript is spliced from 2 exons.
AUCCCAUGAAGCUGGCAAAGCAAGAGUGAUCACUGGUCCCAUUCUAUGGAUGGCAAAACUGAGAGUCACAGAAGUUAAGUGCAUUGGCCCCAGAUCUCGCCAAUAUGUGAACCACAAAGAAAUGCAUCAGUCAUUUCGAUCUCUGAAAAUGAACGAAUGUCUGGCUGACGGCUCAGUUCUUCAUCUGAACGUGGAGUUAACGUGCCUGCGUGGUUGCAAAAGUCAUGUGCUUGCUGCUCGAAGGCAUCAGCCUCUAGAAUUAUUAUUUUUCCUCAUACUAUUGAGAUAAUGGUAAUUUUCCUGUCUAAAUGUAAAUUUAAAAUGGGCAUUUUCAUGCUCGUCUGGGAAAACAAGCUAAACGGGACUGUCCAUCUCACAUAA